RNAcentral lists this ribosomal RNA (490 nucleotides) under uncultured bacterium. Its description in RNAcentral is "partial 16S ribosomal RNA". It matches the Rfam family "Bacterial small subunit ribosomal RNA", at positions 30 to 507 of the family's 1533-position model. The record is from RNAcentral.
AUUGAACGCUGGCGGCAGGCCUAACACAUGCAAGUCGAACGGUAACAGGAAGAAGCUUGCUUCUUUGCUGACGAGUGGCGGACGGGUGAGUAAUGUCUGGGAAACGCCCUGUGGGAGGGGGGUAACUACUGGAAACGGUACCUAAAACCCCAUAACGUCCCAAAACCAAAAAGGGGGACCUUCGGGCCCCUUGCCACCGAAUUUGCCCAGAUGGGAUUAGCUAGUAGGUGGGGUAACGGCUCACCUAGGCGACGAUCCCUAGCUGGUCUGAGAGGAUGACCAGCCACACUGGAACUGAGACACGGUCCAGACUCCUACGGGAGGCAGCAGUGGGGAAUAUUGCACAAUGGGCGCAAGCCUGAUGCAGCCAUGCCGCGUGUAUGAAGAAGGCCUUCGGGUUGUAAAGUACUUUCAGCGGGGAGGAAGGGAGUAAAGUUAAUACCUUUGCUCAUUGACGUUACCCGCAGAAGAAGCACCGGCUAACUCCGUG